GAUGAAGAACGUAGCGAAAUGCGAUAAGUAAUGUGAAUUGCAGAAUUCAGUGAAUCAUCGAAUCUUUGAACGCACCUUGCACUCCUUGGUAUUCCGAGGAGUACGCCUGUUCGAGUGUUAUGAAGCUCUCAAAACGCAAUUGGCUUAAAACCUGAUUGUUGUUUUGGAUUUGAACUUUGCCGUGUUAUAACGGCUGGUUUUAAAAGUAUUAGCUGGUACUAGAACGAAUUGGUUCUACUCAACGUGAUAAUUAUCUGAUCGUUGAGGACAUUCCUUUCACGAGGAAUGGCCAUAGUAAAUUCAAUGGACUGCUUCUAAUCUGGCUUUAAUUCUUUAUUGGAUUAACCACUUUUCGAAUCUGACCUCGAAUCAGGUGGGACUACCCGCUGAACUUAAGCAUAUCAUAAGCGGAGGA
Molecule: unclassified non-coding RNA, 415 nt
Filed under: soil metagenome
Description: partial contains 5.8S ribosomal RNA, internal transcribed spacer 2, and large subunit ribosomal RNA
Rfam family: 5.8S ribosomal RNA (bases 1-120)
Source: RNAcentral